CCUACGGGAGGCAGCAGUGGGGAGUAUUGGACAAUGGGCGAAAGCCUGAUCCAGCCAUGCCGCGUGUGUGAAGAAGGCCUUCGGGUUGUAAAGCACUUUCAGUGGGGAAGAAAGCCUUGGGGCUAAUACCCUCGAGGAAGGACAUCACCCACAGAAGAAGCACCGGCUAACUCCGUGCCAGCAGCCGCGGUAAUACGGAGGGUGCGAGCGUUAAUCGGAAUUACUGGGCGUAAAGCGCGCGUAGGCGGUCUGAUAAGCCGGUUGUGAAAGCCCCGGGCUCAACCUGGGAACGGCAUCCGGAACUGUCAGGCUAGAGUGCAGGAGAGGAAGGUAGAAUCCCCGGUGUAGCGGUGAAAUGCGUAGAGAUCGGGAGGAAUACCAGUGGCGAAGGCGGCCUUCUGGACUGACACUGACGCUGAGGUGCGAAAGCGUGGGUAGCAAACAGGAUUAGAUACCCGAGUAGUC
RNAcentral lists this ribosomal RNA (465 nucleotides) under Vreelandella stevensii. RNAcentral's name for it is "partial 16S ribosomal RNA". It matches the Rfam family "Bacterial small subunit ribosomal RNA", at positions 338 to 795 of the family's 1533-position model. Lineage: Bacteria; Pseudomonadati; Pseudomonadota; Gammaproteobacteria; Oceanospirillales; Halomonadaceae. The record is from RNAcentral.